This is a long non-coding RNA of Lolium perenne, 1833 nucleotides long. RefSeq lists it as uncharacterized. The record is from RefSeq and is a predicted model, not a curated record. NCBI's taxonomy places the organism in Eukaryota, Viridiplantae, Streptophyta, Magnoliopsida, Poales, Poaceae.
UUUUAGGGGAACGAUAGAUGAAGUCUGGUUCCCUCGGUUAGCACAUUUCUCACGCCAUCUCUCCCUUCCCCAACGCCACCAACUUCUUCCCCUCCCGAUAGCACGCCGCCGCUCCAUCGAUCGCCUCCCGGCGCAGCGGCCAGUCCGUCGUCUCUCCUCAGUGCCUCCUCUUCCUAUCUCCUCUCACUCCUCCACCGAUCCCCACCCUUCACAGCCCCGCACCCUCUAUCCAUCCCCACGAGAGCUUGUCCAGCCAAAUCCAACUAGGUUAUAACGACGUGAAAGGCGGCGAUGGGUCGAGGCCAUUGGCGCUGAACCUUCUGGCUGUGUCUCCGACAGUCCAGAGGCCUCCGGCCGAUGGGGAGGAGAAUAACCACAGCCACGCUAGGGGCAAACCCUACCGCGGUAGGCGGUCGUGCGGGGGGAUUGAUCGCUAACCCCCCUCUCCCGCGUUCUUGCUCAUGCGCCCCACGUUUCCCAUCUCCAUCAGACAUCCACAAAUGAAGGCCGCAAUUUCAUCGACUAGCAACAGGUUUCAACGGCUUGGCAUGUUGCAGGUCAAUUUGUUCAUUAUCUUGACAUAAUGACAUUAGAUCAGAACGAAGCCAAAUGUCAGAGAUCUUGUUUCAAUUUGAAACCAUGAAGCAAAACAUUGUGCGAAAACUGAACCAAACUCAGUAAGAUGCUUUCUUCGAUUAUGUCUGUACAAGUGUAGAUCCUCCAAUAUCAAGAAGUUUGCAUCUCCGAUCCUUAAUGAAUUUCAGAAGUGCAAGUGAUUCACCUUGUGAGUGCCCAUGCCCAGGUUUGUGUGCUCUGCGACAUGAUUAUAAUGGGUUUGAAUUGGGAUGUAUACCAGGUCCAAAGAUGCUAUCUGCUGAUGUUUGCAUUAUACAACUUAUAAGAAACAAUGCACUUCUACGCUUGGAGUUGUCAUGUGCUGAUAUAAUUGUUGAACUUGAAUAAUCCGGGUCCAUUUCCUGCUUAAUUAUGUUUUGUUUCCACUUUUACAACUUGAAUAGAUGUGUUCCAAGUAUUUGAUUCUCCAUUAUUCCAGGGACAACUCUCUGGAGGGUGCAGUGGUAGUUCCUUGUGUUCCAAGUGUUCCUCUGACAUUGGCACUUAAGAAACUUGUUUCCGGUGAUGACACUUAGGGAUAUCAUGGCUCGCAUUAGGGAUAUGCAGAUCUCACUUGAAGCAUGUAUUCGCUGAUGCUGGCCAUUUUAGGACUGCAGCUAUGUGUUUGGACAAUAUGUUACAGCUGCGGUGAAAUUUGGUGCCUCCCCGUGGAGUACAAGGUGGGAUUUGCAAGGCUAAGCUGUUCAUAAAUGAGCAAAGAGAGAUUUGUCAAGGCAGUGGCGUGGAAAGUGUAUACCUCAUGACAAUCAUGAUGACACAAAAGAAGAGUGAGCACUAGAUUUUCCCAUGACAAGGCUCCUACCUUUUUGCAAGUGCUUUGUUGAUAUGCUCCGGCAUAAGACAACUUUUGCAUUCUUGGGUAACGCAAGUAUAACUGUCAUUUGUUCUACUCUUCGAUGUGCACCCGUCAUUUGUUCUACUCUUCGAUGUGCUUUCAGAUCUUUCAAUAUCGACUAAUGUUUCUGAUGUUCAUGAACAAAUUUGAAACUGUAUUAUUGGUUUCAUUGUCGAUGUAAAGCUACACCUAGAGUAGGCCCAUAAUGUACUGUGUGGUUAGAGAUGAUUCCUGAAGUUUUAUUUAUUAUUUAUUUAUUUUGUAAUUAGCCUCUUGUGCAUCGAAGAAACAAUGGAGUUCUUGAUGCAUUUGAUUGGGCAAUGGAUUCCUGAAGUUUUAUUUAUUAUUUAUUUAUUUUGUAA